Molecule: ribosomal RNA, 497 nt
Filed under: uncultured bacterium
Lineage: Bacteria
Description: partial 16S ribosomal RNA
Rfam family: Bacterial small subunit ribosomal RNA
Source: RNAcentral
GAUGAACGCUGGCGGCGUGCCUAAUACAUGCAAGUCGAGCGAACAGACGAGGAGCUUGCUCCUUCGACGUUAGCGGCGGACGGGUGAGUAACACGUAGGUAACCUACCUAUAAGACUGGGAUAACUUCGGGAAACCGGAGCUAAUACCGGAUAAUAUUUCGAACCGCAUGGUUCGAUAGUGAAAGAUGGCUUUGCUAUCACUUAUAGUUGGACCUGCGCCGUAUUAGCUAGUUGGUAAGGUAACGGCUUACCAAGGCAACGAUACGUAGCCGACCUGAGAGGGUGAUCGGCCACACUGGAACUGAGACACGGUCCAGACUCCUACGGGAGGCAGCAGUAGGGAAUCUUCCGCAAUGGGCGAAAGCCUGACGGAGCAACGCCGCGUGAGUGAUGAAGGUCUUCGGAUCGUAAAACUCUGUUAUUAGGGAAGAACAAACGUGUAAGUAACUGUGCACGUCUUGACGGUACCUAAUCAGAAAGCCACGGCUAACUACGUG